This 106-nucleotide ribosomal RNA is filed under the name uncultured bacterium. RNAcentral's name for it is "partial 16S ribosomal RNA". It matches the Rfam family "Bacterial small subunit ribosomal RNA", at positions 251 to 354 of the family's 1533-position model. The record is from RNAcentral.
GGUGGCGGGUAGAAGCCCACCAAGGCGACGAUCAGUAGCCGGCCUGAGAGGGUGAACGGCCACAUUGGGACUGAGACACGGCCCAAACUCCUACGGAAGGCAGCAG